GGGCCCGCACAAGCAGUGGAGUAUGUGGUUUAAUUCGAAGCAACGCGAAGAACCUUACCAGGUCUUGACAUCGUGUGCAUAGCGUGGAGACACGUAAAGCCCUUCGGGGCACACAGACAGGUGGUGCAUGGUUGUCGUCAGCUCGUGUCGUGAGAUGUUGGGUUAAGUCCCGCAACGAGCGCAACCCUUACGAUUAGUUACUACGCAAGAGGACUCUAAUAGGACUGCCGUUGACAAAACGGAGGAAGGUGGGGAUGACGUCAAAUCAUCAUGCCCUUUAUGACCUGGGCUACACACGUACUACAAUGAUGGUCAACAGAGGGAAGCAAGACCGCGAGGUGGAGCGAACCCCUAAAAGCCGUCUCAGUUCGGAUCGCAGGCUGCAACCCGCCUGCGUGAAGCUGGAAUUGCUAGUAAUCGCGGAUCAGCAUGCCGCGGUGAAUACGUUCCCGGGCCUU
RNAcentral lists this ribosomal RNA (458 nucleotides) under uncultured bacterium. RNAcentral describes it as "bacterial SSU rRNA". It matches the Rfam family "Bacterial small subunit ribosomal RNA", at positions 917 to 1382 of the family's 1533-position model. The record is from RNAcentral.